Molecule: non-coding RNA, 803 nt
Filed under: Leptodactylus bolivianus (Bolivian white-lipped frog)
Lineage: Eukaryota; Metazoa; Chordata; Amphibia; Anura; Leptodactylidae
Description: partial 12S ribosomal RNA
Rfam family: Bacterial small subunit ribosomal RNA
Source: RNAcentral
GUUUGGUCCUGACCUUAAGAUCAAUUUUUACUUAAUUUACACAUGCAAGUCUCAGCAACCCUGUGAGAACGCCCUUAAACUCCUCCUAAGGAACAAGGAGCUGGUAUCAGGCACAAACUUUAGCCCAAGACACCUAGCCAUGCCACACCCACAAGGGAAUUCAGCAGUGAUUAACAUUGAAUAUAAGCGACAGCUUGAUUCAGUUAAGGUAAAAAGAGCCGGCAAAUCUGGUGCCAGCCGCCGCGGUUACACCACGUGGCUCAAAUUGAUUAUAUUCGGCGUAAAGCGUGAUUUAAGAGAUUAAUUUAUGGUGUCAAAAAAUUACUAAGCCGUGACACGCUUGUGAUUUAGAAGCUCAAAAAACAAAGCUACACCAACAGCAUCAACUUGAAUUAACGACAGCUUGGAAACAAACUGGGAUUAGAUACCCCACUAUGCCUAGCCGUAAACUUUAACUUACACCUCAAUCGCCAGGGAACUACGAGCAAAGCUUAAAACCCAAAGGACUUGACGGUACCCCAAAUCCAUCUAGAGGAGCCUGUCCUGUAAUCGAUAACCCCCGUUUAACCUCACCACUUAUUGUUCAUCAGCCUGUAUACCUCCGUCGUCAGCUUACCACGUGAGCGUUAUUAAGUGAGCUUAAUGCCCCUACGCCAACACGUCAGGUCAAGGUGCAGCUAAUGAAGUGGGAAGAGAUGGGCUACACUUUCUACAGUAGAAGAAACGAAAGACUAUAUAUGAAACCUAGUCAGAAGGAGGAUUUAGUAGUAAAAAGAAAACAGACUGUUCUUUUUAACCCGGCA